Molecule: ribosomal RNA, 376 nt
Filed under: uncultured Alphaproteobacteria bacterium
Lineage: Bacteria; Pseudomonadati; Pseudomonadota; Alphaproteobacteria
Description: bacterial SSU rRNA
Rfam family: Bacterial small subunit ribosomal RNA
Source: RNAcentral
GAUCUCCUACGGGAGGCAGCAGUGGGGAAUCUUGGACAAUGGGGGCAACCCUGAUCCAGCCAUGCCGCGUGAGUGAUGAAGGCCUUAGGGUCGUAAAGCUCUUUCGCCUGUGAUGAUAAUGACAGUAGCAGGUAAAGAAACCCCGGCUAACUCCGUGCCAGCAGCCGCGGUAAUACGGAGGGGGUUAGCGUUGUUCGGAAUUACUGGGCGUAAAGCGCGCGUAGGCGGAUUAGUCAGUUAGAGGUGAAAUCCCAGGGCUCAACCCUGGAACUGCCUUUAAUACUGCUAGUCUUGAGUUCGAGAGAGGUGAGUGGAAUUCCGAGUGUAGAGGUGAAAUUCGUAGAUAUUCGGAGGAACACCAGUGGCGAAGGCGGCA